UGUCCAGGGGCGGGAAUCGAACCCACAACGUUCCGCUUACCGGGCAGAUGCCAUGUCCACUAGGCUACCUUGUU
RNAcentral lists this transfer RNA (74 nucleotides) under Cordylochernes scorpioides. Its description in RNAcentral is "tRNA-Thr". The record is from RNAcentral. Lineage: Eukaryota; Metazoa; Arthropoda; Arachnida; Pseudoscorpiones; Chernetidae.